RNAcentral lists this transfer RNA (70 nucleotides) under Dipodomys ordii (Ord's kangaroo rat). It matches the Rfam family "tRNA". From Rfam's summary of the family: Transfer RNA (tRNA) molecules are approximately 80 nucleotides in length. The record is from Rfam by way of RNAcentral. Lineage: Eukaryota; Metazoa; Chordata; Mammalia; Rodentia; Heteromyidae.
GGGAAUGUAGCUCAGUGGUAGAGUGCUUGCCUACCAUGCAUGGAGCCCUGGGUUCAAUUCCUCAGUACCA